Molecule: ribosomal RNA, 503 nt
Filed under: uncultured bacterium
Lineage: Bacteria
Description: bacterial SSU rRNA
Rfam family: Bacterial small subunit ribosomal RNA
Source: RNAcentral
AUGAACGCAGCGACAGGCUUAACACAUGCAAGUCGAGGGGUAACAGGGUAGCAAUACCGCUGACGACCGGCGCACGGGUGAGUAACGCGUAUGCAACCUGCCUAUAACUGGGGAAUAGCUCCCUGAAAGGGGGAAUUAACACCGCAUAACACUAUUGAUUCGCAUGGAUUAGUAGUUAAAUGUAGCGAUACAGGUUAUAGAUGGGCAUGCGUGACAUUAGCUAGUUGGUGAGGUAACGGCUCACCAAGGCUACGAUGUCUAGGGGUUCUGAGAGGAAGGUCCCCCCACACUGGUACUGAGACACGGACCAGACUCCUACGGGAGGCAGCAGUGAGGAAUAUUGGUCAAUGGGCGCAAGCCUGAACCAGCCAUGUCGCGUGCAGGAAGAACCUCGCCCUAGUGGGUUAGUAAACUGUCUUUUAUAGUAGAAGAAACACAUCUACGUGUAGAUGUCUGCCAGUAUACUAUGAAUAAGCAUCGGCUAACUCCGUGCCAGCCGCCGC